GCAUAUCAAUAAGCGGAGGAAAAGAAACCAACAGGGAUUGCCCUAGUAACGGCGAGUGAAGCGGCAACAGCUCAAAUUUGAAAUCUGGCGUCUUCGGCGUCCGAGUUGUAAUUUGCAGAGGGCGCUUUGGCAUUGGCAGCGGUCCAAGUUCCUUGGAACAGGACGUCACAGAGGGUGAGAAUCCCGUACGUGGUCGCUAGCCUUUACCGUGUAAAGCCCCUUCGACGAGUCGAGUUGUUUGGGAAUGCAGCUCUAAAUGGGAGGUAAAUUUCUUCUAAAGCUAAAUACUGGCCAGAGACCGAUAGCGCACAAGUAGAGUGAUCGAAAGAUGAAAAGCACUUUGGAAAGAGAGUUAAAAAGCACGUGAAAUUGUUGAAAGGGAAGCGCUUGCAGCCAGACUUGCCUGUAGUUGCUCAUCCGGGUUUCUACCCGGUGCACUCUUCUACGGGCAGGCCAGCAUCAGUUUGGGCGGUUGGAUAAAGGUCUCUGUCAUGUACCUCUCUUCGGGGAGAACUUAUAGGGGAGACGACAUGCAACCAGCCUGGACUGAGGUCCGCGCAUCUGCUAGGAUGCUGGCGUAAUGGCUGUAAGCGGCCCGUCUUGAAACACGGACCAAGGAGUCUAACAUCUAUGC
Molecule: ribosomal RNA, 634 nt
Filed under: Phoma sp. C3/12
Lineage: Eukaryota; Fungi; Ascomycota; Dothideomycetes; Pleosporales; Didymellaceae
Description: LSU rRNA
Rfam family: Eukaryotic large subunit ribosomal RNA
Source: RNAcentral